CUCCAUAAAUUGGAAUUACUGGGCGUCUCACCGAUGCUUUUUUUAUUACUACACAGAGAGGCCAGCACCGGUCUACAAAAAGUUUUGGUCAAAAGUGCAUACAUUCAGAGCCAUCCCUCAGUACCAAUCAUGCAGAGACUUUAUGAGGCUGUUAUAAGAGGGAGCAACUCCACCUCUGCCACCAGUGAACCCGCCUCUGCGACCCCCAAUGACUCCACCUCUGUGUCCAGGGAACCCGCCUCUGCGACCCCCAAUGACUCCACCUCUGUGUCCAGUGAACCCGCCUCUGCGACCCCCAAUGACUCCACCUCUGUGUCCAGGGAACCCGCCUCUGCGACCCCCCAAUGACUCCAACUCUGUGUCCAGGGAACCCGCCUCUGCGACCCCCAAUGACUCCAACUCUGAGAUCAGUGAACCCACCUCUGCAACCCCCAAUGACUCCAACUCUGUGUCCAGGGAACCCGCCUCUGCGACCCCCAAUGACUCCAACUCUGUGUCCAGGGAACCCGCCUCUGCGACCCCCAAUGACUCCAACUCUGUGAUCAGUGAACCCACCUCUGCGACCCCCAGUGAACCCAAUAUUCCAAAUGUGUUCUACAGGCCAAUAAAAAGAAAGCAGAGACAAACACUUAAUGAAUGCUCACAUAACAGCCAGGAUGUGUACCAUGGAGAGGUUGUGAGGGAGAGAGUUAGGGAGGGAAGAAAAGAAUAUCUUUUUCGUUGGCAGCCUUGCACAUCCUGUGGCAAGAAGUGGAGGAGUACAUGGGUGUCCGAGGAUGCUGUACAGUAGUUAUUAAAAUAUUUGUGUCUGUUUAAAAAUUAUACUCAUUUGACUUGUCAAUACCAUGAAAUAAAAAAAGAAAGUAUGUGUACUAAUUGUGCUUUUUAUGAAUUUGUUUUAACAGAUCAUUUUAUGUGAAAAAUUAUGCAUGACUCUGUAAAUCUUGCAGAACAGCAAAGCAUAAAAACAACUUCUCUAUCACACAAUACAUCCUACAAUGAAGUGUUGUAUUAUAAAAAUAAAGUGAGAUUAAUG
Cyprinus carpio carpio is the source of this 1036-nucleotide long non-coding RNA. The record is from Ensembl. NCBI's taxonomy places the organism in Eukaryota, Metazoa, Chordata, Actinopteri, Cypriniformes, Cyprinidae.